AUCUAGCUGAUGUAUCCUAAAUAGGACGAAAUGUAAGUCCUGGAU
Molecule: non-coding RNA, 45 nt
Filed under: Schistosoma curassoni
Lineage: Eukaryota; Metazoa; Platyhelminthes; Trematoda; Strigeidida; Schistosomatidae
Source: RNAcentral